UUUACAUUCAUAUAAGCUUAAGAAAUUUGUUAGGUAACACCAUCCAGGUGGUGUGAACUACGUCUCAUAAGGCCAAGUGCAUUAAGGAGAAGCAUAUGGAGAUUUAUAUAUGAAUGAGUUGUGCUGCAAACCUGGUGGUGGGGGAGAAAAGUCUAAGAUCUUAAAAAGUUUAACAGAUGUAUUCUAAUCCUUCAGGUCUGAUCAGAUUUCCCCUUUAACGCGGGCACAGGCAGGCACCAAUCGCAGAGCUGGCAUCUUUGCAAAGGAAAGGUGGAUGCUCUGACUGGGAGGAAGUGAGCUUUAUUGACACCAGCAAGAUCUGGUUUCUUCACAACCAUGAAAUCAUAUAGUUUAAAAAAAACAAAAGAGCUUUGCGUUUAUGUCAAAACCUGGAGAAGGAAUUCAAGCUUUCAGAUGUCCUUCACCUUGUGCUACCUCUUCUUGAAAGAACUUUAAGGGCUUUGCUGCAUUUUGUUGAGUAAUAGUAUGAGGUCUUCUCUUUUAUAAGCAGAUUUAUACUCUAGGAAGUGUCACUUCUAUCAUAUACCUGAGACAAAUGACUGUGAGAUGCCCUAAUGCUCUAUUCCCCUCUGCUUCGUCAUUGUACAUUAUCAUGGACUUGUGCUGAAUGAGCAUUUGUGAUACAGUUUUAGAGUUACAUCUAUGCUAACUCCCCUUCUUUUUCAUCUUUUUCCACUUUCUCUUGCCUUCUCCAAUCAGAAAUAUCUUUGAAGAAGGGACUGUGGCUUCCAUUGCCUUUAGCAUGUUUUAAAACUCUGACUUUGGUACAAUUCAGAGAUUAAAUUUUCUAUAGAAGCCUUGUACACAAUGUAAAGUGGAUUUGUAUGAGGCUUCUCUUAUGGAGAUGGAAUAUGUAGGUCCAUAAUAGAUCUUGUAUCCUUCUUAGAUAAAAUGUUUUUGUAGCUUUGCUAUGCCUCAGCAGUCUUUUGGGUUAGAAAAUGUAAAAUUUCCUCUACUAAAAUUCUAGUAAAUUUAUUCUUUCUAAUGGAAGGAAGUAGGAAACUCCAGAAAAACCAAUCAUAGAAUCACAGAAUGGUUUGGGUUGGAAGGCACCCUAAAGAUCAUGUAAUUCCACCCCCCCCGCCAUAAGCAGGGACACCUCCCACUAGAAUAGGUUGCUCAAAGCCCCUGGCCUUGAACACUUCGAGGGAUGGGGCAUCCACAGCUUCUCUGGGCAACCUGUUCCAGUGCCUCACCACCUGCUGAGUGAAAAAUUUGAUCUAAACCUACCCAUUUUAGUUUAAAGCCAUUACCUC
This 1277-nucleotide long non-coding RNA is filed under the name Anas platyrhynchos platyrhynchos (common mallard). Its description in RNAcentral is "lncRNA (ENSAPLG00000021215.1)". The record is from RNAcentral. Lineage: Eukaryota; Metazoa; Chordata; Aves; Anseriformes; Anatidae.